RNAcentral lists this long non-coding RNA (2803 nucleotides) under Equus asinus (donkey). RNAcentral describes it as "lncRNA (ENSEASG00005027203.1)". The record is from RNAcentral. Lineage: Eukaryota; Metazoa; Chordata; Mammalia; Perissodactyla; Equidae.
CUCAGCUGCCAGCUUCUUCAGGUCCCGACGCUGCCUCCUGGCUGUGUCUGGGAUCCCAGGCAGUCCCAAUUUCCGUGGCCGGCUCCUCGCUGGGGGGGACUCCCUCUGUUGACGCUGGUGGGUGACCGAGGCUGGCUCAAGCGGGUCCUCCCCAGGAUCCCAGGGGUCCAAGUCGGGCUCUAGCCUCCCAGUGGAUUCCCCUGAGGCCCCGACCGUGGAAAGCCGCCUCUCUUGGAGGGCGGCUGAGGAGGACGACAUGUCCCAGGAAUAGCGUGCAGGCAACAGGGACCCACGUGCAGGGCCCCUUCCCUGCCAGUAGGGGACCUGGCCCGAUGGCCUCCUGUGCCUGCUCUGGGCAGUGCUGCGCUUUAGAAUGGGUCUGGAGGACAGCCAACGCGUCACUGAAGAAGGGCUCCCGUCCUCAGAGGAGCCCGACUCGGGGAACUGUCAAGACAAAGCACAGAGGUUGUCCUAGAAGGUCUCAGGGAGCCGAGCCUGGGCCAGGCACUAACCCCACGGGCACAUUCCCCCGGAGUUAGACCACCUAGAGAUGACCUUCCAGUUGUGCCCCAGCAGGGAGCCAGCGGUCCAGGAAACCCCGCACAGGGCUAGACACUGCCUGCUGGGCCUGCCUCCCCUCCAGGUGUGUCUUUUUUUGGUCGAAACUUUAAGCGUCAGUCAAAAAUGUGUUUUAUAAGGAUGGGAUUGAAGAACAGAUGACUUUCAGGUGAAAAUAUUUUUUCAAGAAGAAAAGUGCAAAAUGUUGUCAAUGAUAUCAUCUUAACAUUUAAACUCAACAUAAAAAAGCAAAACUCUUGGCGAAUGCAGCAGUUUUUUGUACAAAGUGCUGACGGGGGUGGAGAUAAGAUGUUUUUGGAAAACUGAAUAUCCCCAAUCCCGUGACAGAUUGUAGCAAUUCCAUCGCGGCCAAUUUUUCUCCUCCAAAAUAAAGCCUCAAUUAAGCCAUUUCCACUCCUGUACUCACAGCCUUUUUUCAGAUGCUGACAAACUGUACUUGGCAAAUAUUUUUACUGUCAUCAUAAGGUGCUGGUCUCUGCAGCGCUCCUUGAGGUUUUUCACAUCACAACGAUUUGGCAGCAGAUUUAGCAGUUUCAUUGUUUCUUUGUAAGGAGCGCUCAUCUAUCUUUUAAACAUAUGCAUUAAUCCACACUGCUAAUUAACACUGCAGUGCAUCUAGCCAAUUCAUUACCAAUUGAGGUGACUUUCAAAGUAAUGUAGGACUUUUAAUUUAAUGUUGCAUCCCACCUAUGGAAUGGAGGAAAAUAUAUGCAAAGCGCAAAUCUGAUACAAGGAUAAUAUCCAAAAUAUACAAGGAACUCACACAACUCAAUAGCAAAAAACCCACAAAUAAUCCAAUUAAAAAUGAGCAAAGGGGGCUGGCCUGGUGACACAGUGGUUAGGUUUGCGUGCUCUGCUUCAGCAGCCCAGCCUUCAUGGGUUUGGAUCCUGGGUGUGGACCUACGCAACACUCAUCAAGCCAUGCUGUGGCAGGCGUCCCACACAAAAAAUAGAGGAAGGUUGGCACCAAUGUUAGCUCAGGGUCAAUCUUCCUCAUAAAAAAAAAAAUGGACAAAGGACCUGAAUAGAUAUUUCUCUAAAGAUGACAUACAAAUGGCCAACAGGUACAUGAAAAGGUGCUUAACGUCACGCAUCAUCAGGGAAAUGCAAAUCAAGGCCACAUGAGAUAUCACCUCACACCUGUUAGAAUGGCUGUCAUCGAAAAGACAAGAGAUAACAAGUGGUUAUACUAUACUAAUGGUAAUGAGGACGUGGAGAAAAGGAAACCUCUGUGCACUGCUGGUGGGAGUGGAAAUUGGUGCAGCCACUAUGGAAAACAGUAUGGAUGUUCCUCAAAAAAUUAAAAAUAGAACUGCCAUGUGAUACAGCUCUUCCACUUCUGGGUCUACAUCCAUAGAAGCUGAUAAUAGAAUCUGAGAGACACCUGCACCCCAUGUGCCCUGCAGCAUCCUUCACAGUGCAGAAACCUGCAGCCCCAUGUGCCCUGCAGCAUCCUUCACAGUGCAGAGACCUGCAGCCCCAUGUGCCCCGCAGCAUCCUUCACAGUGCAGAGACCUGCACCCCAUAUGCCCUGCAGCAUCCUUCACAGUGCAGAGACCUACAGCCCCGUGUGCCCCGCAGCAUCCUUCAUAGUAGAGAGACCUGCACCCCAUGUGCCCUGCAGCAUCCUUCAUAGUAGAGAGAUCUGCAGCCCUGUGUGCCCUGCAGCAUCCUUCACAGUGCAGAGACCUGCACCCCAUGUGCCCCACAGCAUCCUUUACAGUAGCCAGGGAAUAUUGAAUCCGACUCUAAUGAGACAAUCUCGUGCAUUCAGUUUUCGGCAGUAGGAGUAACAGUUUCCUGUUACAAUGUCCUUUUGAAGCAAGGACACCUAAAACUGUUAAGAAAGCCGUUGUCACACAGGGUGUAGGAGGAACUAGAACUUUACUUAAAGAGAAAGAGAAUAAAAUGUUCCAAAGGGAAUGAUUCUGCCCUUUCCAGAAGCCUGCUCAUCCUGUAGGAGUAGCAACUGCAUCCAACUGCCCAGACAGGGCCAGCAGUCAGCAAGAACCAGGGCUCACGUGAGGAAACUCAGGAAAAGCACAUCAGCAGCCUUGAUAACAGUCCCCUCCAGGCCCAGGCCAAGGCUGAGGGCUGCCUCCUCCAGGUGCCAUCUGCCCAGGGCUGGCUUCUGCUUGGGGUGAUGACACUGCCACUUUGCUUUCCUUGAAUUCGUGAUACAUAUUUGUGCAUGAAGAGGAGAAUCUGGCAGCGAAUUUUGGGG